Molecule: ribosomal RNA, 519 nt
Filed under: uncultured eukaryote
Lineage: Eukaryota
Description: SSU rRNA
Rfam family: Eukaryotic small subunit ribosomal RNA
Source: RNAcentral
AGGGCACCACCAGGAGUGGAGCCUGCGGCUUAAUUUGACUCAACACGGGAAAACUCACCCGGCCCGGACACCGUAAGGAUUGACAGACUGAUAGCUCUUUCUUAAUUCGGUGGGUGGUGGUGCAUGGCCGUUCUUAGUUGGUGGAGCGAUUUGUCUGGUUAAUUCCGAUAACGAACGAGACUCUGGCCUAUUAAAUAGUAGAGUCAUCUCUGUAAGUGAUUCUUACUUCUUAGAGGGACAAGCGGCGUCUGGCCGCAUGAAAUAGAGCAAUAACAGGUCUGUGAUGCCCUUAGAUGUCCGGGGCUGCACGCGCGCUACACUGAAAGAAUCAGUGUGCGUCCAGAACCUAGUCCGGAAGGACCGGGUAACCCCAGUAAAUUCUUUCGUGCUUGGGAUAGGGAAUUGAAAUUAUUUCCCUUAAACGAGGAAUUCCCAGUAAAUGCGGGUCAUAAGCUCGCGUUGAUUACGUCCCUGCCCUUUGUACACACCGCCCGUCGCUACUACCGAUUGGAUGACUCA